RNAcentral lists this ribosomal RNA (581 nucleotides) under uncultured Dothideomycetes. Its description in RNAcentral is "eukaryotic LSU rRNA". It matches the Rfam family "Eukaryotic large subunit ribosomal RNA", at positions 55 to 651 of the family's 3401-position model. Lineage: Eukaryota; Fungi; Ascomycota; Dothideomycetes. The record is from RNAcentral.
AGAAAAGAAACCAACAGGGAUUGCCUCAGUAACGGCGAGUGAAGCGGCAACAGCUCAAAUUUGAAAUCUGGCUCUUUUAGGGUCCGAGUUGUAAUUUGUAGAGGAUGCUUCGGCGUCGGCUCCGGUCUAAGUUCCUUGGAACAGGACGUCAUAGAGGGUGAGAAUCCCGUAUGUGAUCGGUUGCCCUUGCCAUGUGAAGCUCCUUCGACGAGUCGAGUUGUUUGGGAAUGCAGCUCUAAAUGGGAGGUAAAUUUCUUCUAAAGCUAAAUACUGGCCAGAGACCGAUAGCGCACAAGUAGAGUGAUCGAAAGAUGAAAAGCACUUUGGAAAGAGAGUCAAAAAGUACGUGAAAUUGUUGAAAGGGAAGCGCUUGCAACCAGACCUGCCUGCAGUUGCUCAUCCGGGCUUUUGCCCGGUGCACUCUUCUGCUGUCAGGCCAGCAUCAGUUCGGGCGGUCGGAUAAAGGCUUCGGGAAUGUAGCUCCUCUCGAGGAGUGUUAUAGCCCGUUGCGAAAUGCGGCCAGCCUGAACUGAGGUCCGCGCUUCGGCUAGGAUGCUGGCGUAAUGGUUGUAAGCGGCCCG